Long non-coding RNA from Prinia subflava (tawny-flanked prinia), 1293 nucleotides. RefSeq lists it as uncharacterized. The transcript has 6 exons. The record is from RefSeq and is a predicted model, not a curated record. NCBI's taxonomy places the organism in Eukaryota, Metazoa, Chordata, Aves, Passeriformes, Cisticolidae.
UGGAGGGGUCCAGACAGGGGACAGGUGGUGUCCUCCAACCAAGGUGUCUCUGCCAAGACACACACAGGGUGCCCUGGUGAUAACCUGGAUAAUAAAUCUGAUUUUGGCCUUGAGUCUGUUCCCUUGGAUUAUCGCAUUUCUUCAAGGACCAAAAGCUGUGCUGGUGAUUCAGACCUGGAGGAGAAUGUCUUUUUUAGUGGUGGUUGCAAGGACAAUGUUCUAGUUUCAGACUACCACAGCUGCCCUGGCUGGCCCAGUGCGAGGUGGCCACAGGCCUCCCACAGGCUGCACCUGGAUGAUGGGAGACACAAUCUGCACCAAGGCUGGACCUGUCCUGGACCAUUGACCAAGUAAAUGGAAAACAGGGAUGGAAAGGAGGAUCCAACACCUUGGCUAUGGCCAAAUCCUGGCUCUGAUCAUCACAGACGACCUGAAUGCCCUGUGAGUCUCCAUCCAGAGGCAGCAGGAGGAUGGUGUUGGCUCAGCUACGCUGAAUUGGCUCCAUGUGACAAAACCCAAGAAUCCCUGCUUGGAAGCGUGGGAGAAAUGAGCUUUUCCCCCAUUUCCCUGGCAGCCUGCUGCUCGGAGCUCUGCUAUUCUUGAGCAGCUUUGCCGGUGGAAUUGGGGCGCCGGAAUGUUUGCGGUGAGGUGGAUGCGUGGAAGCAGAUAACAACACAUCCCAGCAGCUGCCUUCUCGUCCUUUGUCCUGUUCUCACUCAUCUGAAGUCCACAAACAACAGGCUCUAAGCUCACCCCCUUUGUGGGUCUAUGAGCAGUCCAUGGAUUCAAGGAGCUGUGGGAAUACAGGGGUGAGAAUUUCCUUCUCCUGUGGAUCAGAAUGGCACCCGCUCACAGGCGAGAAGAAAGAUCCUGAUGUAAAUGUGCCUCCCAAGCCUUUUGCUCAGAGAAUUUUGAUCUAUUCCCCAAUUCCCUUUCCUUUUUCCUGCCUUUGCUUCCCAAAAACAUACAUGAUCUGUCACAAUUUAUAACCUCUGGUUUAAGGAGGACGGGGCAGACAAAUUCAUCUCUAUAAAAGCUUCUUUUUUUAUUGCACUUAAUGCGCACCUUUCGCCUUGUGUAAUGGAGCUUACAUUCUGGAAAAAAAAUCUUUGACAUCUUCCUAUUUUAUCUCUUCUUCCCCUUUGGCUGCAUGAGCAUCCCACUCCAUCCAUGUGAGCCACGCAGCAUGGGCAACUUCCUUUUCUCUCCAUCUCCCUUUCAGUUGCUGUUUCACCCAGAUCUCUUCCUGGUGCCUGGUACGUUUAGGUAUCGUCCAGCUGUACAGAUUUUCUC